ACAUGGGUUUCUGUCUUCUUAGGAAUCAAGAAUACAGAGGUACGAGCCUAUAGAACAGAUCCUGUUCAAGUAAGGUCGUGCCAUUGUGUCACUCCAUUGAGUCUAUAUACAUACUCUCGUUUGUACAUUCCACCGAUGUGGGAUGAGACUAUCCCGUAUUUCACCCUAUUGAGUUUACGUUUAGUCAAGAAAAUCUACACUUCGCAUGCCCUUUCUUAAAAGGGAGCAUAAAUCAUAAAAAAAUAUCUCAUUUGUUCCCUUAUCCACUAUAUAUCAGUUAAUAUAAACAAUCUAGUCUCUUUGGAUGCACAUAGUAGAGUUGAAAUGA
This is a long non-coding RNA of Helianthus annuus (common sunflower), 328 nucleotides long. RefSeq lists it as uncharacterized. The record is from RefSeq and is a predicted model, not a curated record. The transcript is spliced from 2 exons. Lineage: Eukaryota; Viridiplantae; Streptophyta; Magnoliopsida; Asterales; Asteraceae.